This is a non-coding RNA of Hordeum vulgare subsp. vulgare (domesticated barley), 135 nucleotides long. The record is from Rfam. NCBI's taxonomy places the organism in Eukaryota, Viridiplantae, Streptophyta, Magnoliopsida, Poales, Poaceae.
UUAGUACUCCCUCUGUCUCAAAAUUCUUGUCUUAAAUUUAUGUAGAUAUGAAUGUAUCUAGUCACGUUUUGUAUUUAGAUACAUUCAUUUCUACACAACCCUAAGACAAAUUUUUUGGGACGGAGGGAGUAUGUU